CCUACGGGUGGCAGCAGUGGGGAAUAUUGGACAAUGGGGGGAACCCUGAUCCAGCCAUGCCGCGUGUGUGAAGAAGGCCCUCGGGUUGUAAAGCACUUUCAGUGAGGAAGAACGCCUGGUGGUUAAUACCCAUCAGGAAAGACAUCACUCACAGAAGAAGCACCGGCUAACUCCGUGCCAGCAGCCGCGGUAAUACGGAGGGUGCGAGCGUUAAUCGGAAUUACUGGGCGUAAAGCGCGCGUAGGUGGCUUGAUAAGCCGGUUGUGAAAGCCCCGGGCUCAACCUAGGAACGGCAUCCGGAACUGUCAAGCUAGAGUGCAGGAGAGGAAGGUAGAAUUCCCGGUGUAGCGGUGAAAUGCGUAGAGAUCGGGAGGAAUACCAGUGGCGAAGGCGGCCUUCUGGACUGACACUGACACUGAGGUGCGAAAGCGUGGGUAGCAAACAGGAUUAGAUACCCCAGUAGUC
This 465-nucleotide ribosomal RNA is filed under the name Vreelandella stevensii. RNAcentral's name for it is "partial 16S ribosomal RNA". It matches the Rfam family "Bacterial small subunit ribosomal RNA", at positions 338 to 795 of the family's 1533-position model. Lineage: Bacteria; Pseudomonadati; Pseudomonadota; Gammaproteobacteria; Oceanospirillales; Halomonadaceae. The record is from RNAcentral.